This 459-nucleotide ribosomal RNA is filed under the name uncultured bacterium. RNAcentral's name for it is "partial 16S ribosomal RNA". It matches the Rfam family "Bacterial small subunit ribosomal RNA", at positions 338 to 795 of the family's 1533-position model. The record is from RNAcentral.
CCUACGGGUGGCAGCAGUGAGGAAUAUUGGUCAAUGGCCGGAAGGCUGAACCAGCCAAGCCGCGUGAGGGAGGAAGGCGCAGAGCGUCGCAGACCUCUUUUGCCGGGGGACAAAAGGCCGGACUCGUCCGGUCCUGAGGGUACCCGGAGAAAAAGCAUCGGCUAACUCCGUGCCAGCAGCCGCGGUAAUACGGAGGAUGCGAGCGUUAUCCGGAUUUAUUGGGUUUAAAGGGUGCGCAGGCGGGAGAUCAAGUCAGCGGUAAAAUGUCGGGGCUCAACCCCGGCCGGCCGUUGAAACUGGUUUUCUAGAGUUGGAGAGAAGUAUGCGGAAUUCGUGGUGUAGCGGUGAAAUGCAUAGAUAUCACGAAGAACUCCGAUUGCGAAGGCAGCAUACCGGCUCCAUACUGACGCUGAGGCACGAAAGCGUGGGGAUCGAACAGGAUUAGAUACCCUUGUAGUC